UGGUGAGCCAUCUGCAAUACAAACGCU
This 27-nucleotide non-coding RNA is filed under the name Homo sapiens (human). Lineage: Eukaryota; Metazoa; Chordata; Mammalia; Primates; Hominidae. The record is from RNAcentral.